RNAcentral lists this ribosomal RNA (267 nucleotides) under Triticum aestivum (bread wheat). RNAcentral's name for it is "partial small subunit ribosomal RNA". Lineage: Eukaryota; Viridiplantae; Streptophyta; Magnoliopsida; Poales; Poaceae. The record is from RNAcentral.
UCGGCCCCGGGUCCGGACGGCCUUCCGGUGAAAUUCUUCCAGACCUUCUGGAAUGUGAUUAAGCCGGAAAUCAUGGCCAUCUUUGACGAGUUCUACGUUGGGACCAUCGACCUCGGGCGCUUCAACUAUGGGAUCAUCUCGCUCAUUCCCAAAGUGUCGGGGGCCUCCGACAUUCGCCAGUUCCGCCCGAUCACGAUGAUCAAUGUGAUCUUCCGGAUUCUGGCAAAGGGGUACGCCAAUAGGGUAACCCUGCUAGCAGACCUCAUU